CUUCCAUCUGGUGCUUCUUUGUAAACAGGUGGAAACCAGGUGAGCAUCAUCACAGGUUGUAUAGUCUGAGGGUUUUCUGUUCCAAUGUGAUAAAAACACAUUUGUUUUUAUCACAGCAGCUAAAUCACACAGACAAAUAUAUUCAAGGAUAUUCACUGAACAUGUGGCGUAUUUAAUAAUGAAUGGUGUCCACAUCAGCUGUGAAAACAUUGUGCCAAGACUUGUGAUGUGAUCUUUACUUUUCUUUACUUCCACACUGAAUAUUCAGCAUUAUUUCACAUCAGUAACAGUUUGGCUGUGGAAGAAGAAACGCCUUGUUUCAGCUCAGUGUCUUCUCUUUGUCUCACAGGACACUCACAGAUCAACGACCAACAACUCCAAUACCCAGAAGUCCUCUGUGGUGACGUCACUAACAGUGUGAAGAGGUAGAGACAACCCCCAGACUCCCUUAUGAAAUCUCUCCAUUUAGUGAGUUUCUGAGUCAGGAGACACUUUCUAACCUCCUGAAACGCUGUUUGUGAUGAUUCUUCAUUAUUUGGACCUUCUUGUAAAUUCGGCAUGUGUUAGCUCGUUGUGGGUCGUGCUGCAGCCCCCUCAGUCUAACAGGAAGACUCCCAGUCAGUCACACGCCUCUCUGGCUGUUUCCUCCUCACAGUUUACUUUCACUUUCUCUGACAGGUGUGUCGCAGAUAGUUUUCUCCGUCUGAACCUCCAGCUGAAGAUGAAAGUGUGUGUGAGAUGAGCAGCAUGAAUCAGUGUGAGGACAGAGAGGAGGGAGGCCCUCCCUCUAAAACCACUGGACCUGGACCUGGACCUGGACCUGAGCCUGGACCUGGACCUGGACCUGGACCUGGACCCAGCUGUGUGUCCUUCAAGAGUGACGACUCAAUGGAUCGUUACAUUGAAUUUAAAGAACAACCAGCUCGUGCUGUAAAGAGCUGGCGUCACCUUUACUUUGAAAGUCCAGUGGAGCUGGAUCAGAACAUUUGUACGGAGGGAGAGAUCGCGCUGAUCCGCUGCUGGUUACUUUCUCUCUGAGCGUCUCUACAGAUGUUCAGCUGAGGGGAAACGCUGCUCAGCUGAUGAUCCGACUCGCAUCAGGAGGUCAUUUAUUAGGCUGUAGCCUGUUUACUUUAUAUACAGUCAGUCACCACUGAAAGAAGUUGUGCGCUCGCAGCAGGACAGAUAAUUUAACUUAAUGUGGCC
Molecule: long non-coding RNA, 1206 nt
Filed under: Sparus aurata (gilthead seabream)
Lineage: Eukaryota; Metazoa; Chordata; Actinopteri; Spariformes; Sparidae
Description: lncRNA (ENSSAUG00010026264.1)
Source: RNAcentral